RNAcentral lists this microRNA precursor (102 nucleotides) under Dasypus novemcinctus (nine-banded armadillo). RNAcentral's name for it is "miRNA (ENSDNOG00000037183.1)". It matches the Rfam family "mir-544 microRNA precursor family". The record is from RNAcentral. Lineage: Eukaryota; Metazoa; Chordata; Mammalia; Cingulata; Dasypodidae.
AUGGCCAGGGGAACUUGUUAAAAUGAAGAUUCUGAUUCAGUAAUACUGCAAUGGGGCCUGAGAUUCUGCAUUUUUAACAAGUUCCCAGGUGUCCAUGCCACU